This 346-nucleotide unclassified non-coding RNA is filed under the name soil metagenome. RNAcentral describes it as "partial contains 5.8S ribosomal RNA, internal transcribed spacer 2, and large subunit ribosomal RNA". The stretch from base 1 to 119 matches the Rfam family "5.8S ribosomal RNA", at positions 35 to 154 of the family's 154-position model. The record is from RNAcentral.
GAUGAAGAACGUAGCGAAAUGCGAUACGUAAUGUGAAUUGCAAAUUCAGUGAAUCAUCGAGUCUUUGAACGCACAUUGCGCCCCCUGGUAUUCCGGGGGGCAUGCCUGUCCGAGCGUCAUUGCUGCCCUCAAGCACGGCUUGUGUGUUGGGCCCCGUCCUCCGAUCCCGGGGGACGGGCCCGAAAGGCAGCGGCGGCACCGCGUCCGGUCCUCGAGCGUAUGGGGCUUUGUCACCCGCUCUGUAGGCCCGGCCGGCGCUUGCCGAUCAACCCAAAUUUUUUAUCCAGGUUGACCUCGGAUCAGGUAGGGAUACCCGCUGAACUUAAGCAUAUCAAUAAGGGGAGGA